AGUGAACGCUGGCGGCAGGCCUAACACAUGCAAGUCGAGCGGCAGCGCGGGUGUAGCAAUACAUCUGGCGGCGAGCGGCGGACGGGUGAGGAAUACAUCGGAAUUUACCCAAUCGUGGGGGAUAACGUAGGGAAACUUACGCUAAUACCGCAUGAACUGGAGACAGCAAAGCGGCGGACCUUCGGGCGUCGCGCGGUUGGAUGAGCCGAUGUCGGAUUAGCAGUUGGCGGGGUAAAGGCCCACCAAGGCGACGAUCCGUAGCUGGUCUGAGAGGAUGAUCAGCCACACUGGAACUGAGACACGGUCCAGACUCCUACGGGAGGCAGCAGUGGGGAAUAUUGGACAAUGGGCGCAAGCCUGAUCCAGCCAUGCCGCGUGUGUGAAGAAGG
Molecule: ribosomal RNA, 389 nt
Filed under: uncultured bacterium
Lineage: Bacteria
Description: bacterial SSU rRNA
Rfam family: Bacterial small subunit ribosomal RNA
Source: RNAcentral